AAGAGUUUGAUCCUGGCUCAGGAUGAACGCCGGCGGCGUGCCUAAUACAUGCAAGUCGAGCGGCAGCACGGUCUUCGGACUGGUGGCGAGCGGCGGACGGCUGAGUAACGCGUAUGAAUAUACCCCAAAGUGAGGGAUAACUGCCCGAAAGGGUGGCUAAUACCGCAUGUGGUCUUCGGACUAAAGCCUUCGGGCGCUUUGGGAAUAGCCUGCGUAAGAUUAGCUAGUUGGUGAGGUAAUGGCUCACCAAGGCGACGAUCUUUAGCUGGUCUGAGAGGAUGACCAGCCAGACUGGAACUGAGACACGGUCCAGACUCCUACGGGAGGCAGCAGUAGGGAAUUUUCCACAAUGGGCGAAUGCCUGAUGGAGCAACGCCGCGUGCAGGAUGAAGGCCCUCGGGUCGUAAACUGCUUUUAUGUGCGAAGAAUAUGACGGUAACACAUGAAUAAGGGUCGGCUAACUACGUG
RNAcentral lists this ribosomal RNA (468 nucleotides) under uncultured bacterium. Its description in RNAcentral is "bacterial SSU rRNA". It matches the Rfam family "Bacterial small subunit ribosomal RNA", at positions 1 to 507 of the family's 1533-position model. The record is from RNAcentral.